CGAUGCUUUUGCAGAUGUCUUAACAGGUACAGUACUUCGUUCCAACCCCAAAUUCACUAACUCUUUACACUCAUCCUGCAGCAACCGUUGUAAUUCCCUGGAUACACUCUUCUUCUGCGGUUGAUCAACAACCUGUCUCUUGGUGAAAAUUCUUAUCUUGGAACUGGAGCUGAAAUGUGUAUAUCCAAGAUUUUCUUCAGUUUCUGAUGGUUGCAUUCGUGAAGAGCCCUGAAGCAUAAUGUGAUACACAUCAGUAUAUUGUGUCUUGAGACUCAUUUGUCGAUUUAAAUGCUUCAUAAUUUUAUUUCUUCGUAUUUUUUGUUU
Molecule: long non-coding RNA, 324 nt
Filed under: Locusta migratoria (migratory locust)
Lineage: Eukaryota; Metazoa; Arthropoda; Insecta; Orthoptera; Acrididae
Description: partial Lnc70608
Source: RNAcentral